UUGGAACUUGCUGAGGUCUGAAGCAAUUCAUCCAUGUCAGUGCUCAUUUUUAUCCCCUGUUCUGUCUCUGCCUUUGGGUUCUGCGAGUUGUCGGAGCCCUCCGUCACUGGGAACCAACAUUCGAGCUGCCCAGGAAACCACCAUUAGAACCACUACUAUUUUGCUGCCACCGAGGUCGUUGGUGCUUGUCAAGAGUGCUAUUCUGGUUCUGAAUUGAUUAGUUCAUGCCACUACUGCUGCUGAGAAGUGAUCAGAAAUGCCACUGCUGUUAGUUCGGUUCAAGGAGGUUGUUGCCACUACGAAUUAAAAAUAAAAGAAGGCUGUGUUGUGUUUGAUUAUCGAAUUUCGGCUAAUCGAGUGACACAGGUACGAAGAUUCAGUUUGAAGCUGCGGGCGAUUCUAGAAUUUAUUUACGAGUUAAGUUCAUGACUUGAGAAUCUUUCAUAGAAUUCCCUUGCCCUUACUGCUUAAGGUUUUUAUUUUAUGCAGAGGGAUAGG
Arachis ipaensis is the source of this 498-nucleotide non-coding RNA. NCBI's taxonomy places the organism in Eukaryota, Viridiplantae, Streptophyta, Magnoliopsida, Fabales, Fabaceae. The record is from RefSeq and is a predicted model, not a curated record.